Molecule: ribosomal RNA, 476 nt
Filed under: uncultured bacterium
Lineage: Bacteria
Description: partial 16S ribosomal RNA
Rfam family: Bacterial small subunit ribosomal RNA
Source: RNAcentral
GACGAACGCUGGCGGCGUGCCUAAUACAUGCAAGUAGAACGCUGAAGAGAGGAGCUUGCUCUUCUUGGAUGAGUUGCGAACGGGUGAGUAACGCGUAGGUAACCUGCCUUGUAGCGGGGGAUAACUAUUGGAAACGAUAGCUAAUACCGCAUAACAAUGGAUGACACAUGUCAUUUAUUUGAAAGGGGCAAUUGCUCCACUACAAGAUGGACCUGCGUUGUAUUAGCUAGUAGGUGAGGUAAUGGCUCACUUAGGCGACGAUACAUAGCCGACCUGAGAGGGUGACAGGACACAUGGGGAAGGAGAGACGGGCCAGAGUCCUAGGGGGGGCAGAAGUGAGGAGUAUUGCACCAUGGGAGGAAGCCUGAUGCAGCAACGCAGGGUGCGGGAGGACGGCCUUCGGGUUGUAGAGCGCUUGCGCCUGUGAAGAAGCGUGAGUGACGGUAAUGGGUAAAGAAGAACAGGCUAACUACGUG